AACGAACGCUGGCGGUAGGCCUAACACAUGCAAGUCGAACGCCGUAGCAAUACGGAGUGGCAGACGGGUGAGUAACGCGUGGGAACAUACCCUUCGGUUCGGAAUAACUCAGGGAAACUUGAGCUAAUAACCGGAUACGUCCAAGGUCAAACUUAGGAGAAAGAUUUAUCGCCGGAGGAUUGGCCCGCGCCUGAUUAGCUUGUUGGUGAGGUAAUGGCUCACCAAGGCGACGAUCAGUAGCGGUCUGAGAGGAUGAUCAGCC
RNAcentral lists this ribosomal RNA (262 nucleotides) under uncultured bacterium. Its description in RNAcentral is "partial 16S ribosomal RNA". It matches the Rfam family "Bacterial small subunit ribosomal RNA", at positions 29 to 309 of the family's 1533-position model. The record is from RNAcentral.